AUGAUGGAGCGGGUGAAGGUGGUGCACGAAAAUAGUCAGGCUGCUUACGACGCCAGCGCGGCUCUUCGAGCCAAUGUCCAAAAAUUAUGUGCGCUUAUCUCUAAAUUCGUUGAAUUUGAGGAAAAGCAGAGGCAACUCAACCUUGACUUGGAGUUGGCCCAACAGAACUUUAAAAAGGCUCAAGAUGAAGCUGCUGGUAUGGAAGAGAAAAUGAGGCUGGCUCUGGCGAAGAAGGACCUUGACCUUGCAGAUGCGCAAAAGGAGGCUCAGGAGAAGGCUGCCCUUGCUGACAAAAAGCUGGCUUCGGUCGGAGCGCUAGAGGAGGAAAUAACCAAGCUGAAGUCGUCUCUUACUGAACCCAACCGAGAGGCGACUCGUCUGAAGAAGGAUAAGGUGACUCUGAACGAGCAGCUGGAAAGCAUGUCUCAUAGGAGAAACGACUUGGAAGCUUAUCUGAAAGCCCUCGCCAAGAAGCUCUUCCUUAUGCUCAAAGAAUUCUGCCAAAACUUUGAAGAGGAAACUGGACGGAUCGAGACGGGCUUGGAUCCCAUCCUUUCUCCAGUCGGCGAUGAGGCUGCCAUGAAUGUGCUUCAACUGGAAUCUCGCGUUGCUAGCGUUACCAGUUAUCUUGCUCGCUUGAAGGUGGUGACGUCACACAUUGAUACAUCACUCUGGCCAAGGGCAACGCUUCAGAAUGAUCUUGAGUCUCUGAUGACUCGACUCAAUGAGGUUCAUGGUCGAGUGCAGGAAUGGAAGAAGUCUUCUGCCUGA
This 771-nucleotide ribosomal RNA is filed under the name Triticum aestivum (bread wheat). Its description in RNAcentral is "partial small subunit ribosomal RNA". The record is from RNAcentral. Lineage: Eukaryota; Viridiplantae; Streptophyta; Magnoliopsida; Poales; Poaceae.